This 495-nucleotide ribosomal RNA is filed under the name uncultured bacterium. RNAcentral describes it as "partial 16S ribosomal RNA". It matches the Rfam family "Bacterial small subunit ribosomal RNA", at positions 28 to 507 of the family's 1533-position model. The record is from RNAcentral.
GAUGAACGCUGGCGGCGUGCCUAAUACAUGCAAGUAGAACGCUGAGGGAGGGGCUUGCUCUUCUGGAUGAGUGGCGAACGGGUGAGUAACGCGUAGGUAACCUGCCUUGUAGCGGGGGAUAACUAUUGGAAACGAUAGCUAAUACCGCAUGACAACAGUUAUUGCAUGAUAACUGUUGAAAAGGGGCAACUGCUCCACUACGAGAUGGACCUGCGUUGUAUUAGCGAGUUGGUGAGGCAACUGCUCGCCAAGGCGGGGAUACAGAGCCGACCGGCGAUGGGGGUCGGCCACACUGGGACGGUGACACGGCCCAUACUGCUUCGGGAGGCAGCCGUAGGGCAUCUGCGGCAAUGGACGGAAGUCUGACCGAGCAAGGCCGCGUGAGUGAAGAAGGAUGUCGGAUCGGAAAGCUCUGUUGUAAGGUAAGAACGCGUGUGAGAGUGGAAAGUUCACACUGUGACGGUAUCUGAUCAGAAAGGGACGGCUAACUACGUG